AGUAAUUAAAAUACACCUUCGUUAAUUUAAAGAGAUUCACGGUCUUAAUAUUUUUUUAUCGGGUUGGUAACAUUCGCAAAACGUGAAAAAUGAAAACAUAAAUAAAAUGAAUGAUAAAUAAGCUAUAGAAUAGAUUAAUAGAAUGUGACAUAGCUAAUAAAUCUAAAAUGUUAUCGUCAAAGAAAACAUAUAUACAUGUAACCAACUUGUGUAUGUGUUUUGUUAUGCUGUUUUGUUGGACAGGCAAGUGUUCUACGUGUAUAUGUCCGGGGAGAAGACGGGAAGAGUAAUUAGAUACGAUAUGAAGAAGAAAGAGGCCACAGUUGUAAUGGACAAACUUCAUUUACCUAAUGGUUUAGCUCUAAGCAAGGACGGGUCGUUUGUACUCACCUGCGAAAGUGGUACAAAUACUAUCCACAGAAUAUGGGUCAAGGGUCCUAAAGCCGGGACCAACGAGGUUUUUGCAAAGAUCCCGGGUCCUAUGGACAAUAUCAGACGCACGCCUACGGGAGAUUUUUGGGUCGCGUUGCACUCCAAGGACAGUUUGUUCACUCGUGUGUUUCUGAGUCACUCUUUGGUCGGAAAGUUUUUCAUCAAGACGCUGAAGGUGGAGACUGUGGUUCAUCUCAUUAAUGGAGGAAAACCUCAUGGAAUUGUUGUGAAACUCUCUGGAGAGACAGGAGAGAUUCUUGAGACACUUGAGGACAGUGAAGGGAAGACGAUGAAGUAUGUUAGUGAAGCUUACGAGAGAGAAGAUGGCAACUUAUGGUUUGGGUCUGUGUAUUGGCCGGCCGUUUGGGUGCUUGAUAAUUCUGUUUACGGUCUCAAAUGAGUUAGCAAAUGCAAACAAAAAGUAAUAAUUUGGUGGUAUGAUCUUCUUUUUUCUAACUUGUUAGAAGACAUGCAUCUUCCUUUGUACCUUCUUGUUGUUGUGUGAGUGGACUUUGAUUUGUUGGUUUAGUUGAGUAGUUUAAUGUAGUUUUGUGAGAUUUUAUAAUUUUUGACAUAAAACGAAAAUUGUGUUGUGUUCGGCGUGACUAUGUCUUCUAGAAAUUUUGACAAAGUACUCGACGACAAGGGGAACAUGAUGCCCAAGAGUUGCUCGUCUUGAUAAGAAUCGCUAGUUCUCACGAGGCCCGAGUUGGUUUAUUUGAUUUGACUUUACAUGAUUUAAUUUAUAUAUUCGUUAAAUAAUAUUCUAAUUAUUAAUUUGUUUUUAAAAAAUUUCAUAUAACGAUUUACGAUCAUUUAUGAUGUACAUCUUUUUUUUCUCAACCAUUUAUGAUGUACAUGAGUACAUCUAGUUAGGGUUCUAGGUUGAUUUUUUCUUUUUGCUAACAUCCUAAGCACUACGUCUACUCUACUUGAACUGGCUUCUGAUCUGAAGUUUGGUUUGAUUAUCCUGCUAAAUGUGAAUUAGUACUCAAGUUCAAAAUGUAACUUAUACUCUUGCCACUUUUUAAAUUUAAUGUACCAAAAGUUAACAAAAAAAUUCUUUUAAAUGUUAAAGCCUAUCUUGAAUUUUUUUUUAAACAUUAUUUAAUCAGUGGCAGAAAACAAUACAUUCAAAAUAAUUAGUUAUUAAUCUUUUUCAUAAGAUGUGGACUUAUUCAGCUCUUAUCUAUUUUUAAAAGAUGUAUGCUUAAUUUAUUUUCCACAUAUUUAAAAUAGAAUAAAUUUUAAUAACACAUAUACUAUUUAUGUAAGUAUUAAUUUUAAAUAAUUGCAAAUUAAUAUAUUUAAUAAGUAUAGUUAAUAUUUUUGAAGUUCGUAACUUAUCAUUAUUAACUAAUAAAAAUGUAUAAAAUAAGACCUGUUCUGAAAAAAAUAUCUUUCUAAUAUAGAAGGAUUAAUAUAUAUCAAAAAUUAAACAAAUUGUAAUUAACAAUGGAAAUGGCCAUUCGUCUAAUUGUAAACUUGUAGUGGAGAAAGAUUUAUUCUUACUUUAAUGUGAUUCGUGUCGGUAAAAGAUGUCCGAGGGUCCGGUGAUGUGAUCAUGUGGAACAAGAUGGAGCACCAGGCCUUUCCCUUUCCAAGCUUUAAUUAUUUUGCAUGAUUACUUCUCAAAAUACUAUAGUAGCUACGAAAUUACAGUAUUCCGACUAACCAUACGUGUAGGUUGUCAAAAAGAUAUCAUACUUUGUCUGCUCUUGGGUGUGUAUCAUAUUGCAUAUGGAAUUUGAUAUGCGCGAGAGGAUUUGUAUAAGUAUAUUAUAUAAGUUUUUUUUUCUAUUUUGAAUAAUCAUAUCUUUCUGAAUUUUCCUUAAGUUUAUUUCUGUUUUUUUUUUUUUGAUAAAAUGAUAAAUUUAAAAUAUUUGACCGACUACUAUAUUUUAAAUAGAUAGAUAUCAGAGCAUCCAUAUAAAGAAAGUGAAUUUCUUAACAAAAAAGUUAUUUUAAAGAAAGAAAAAAUAUGAGAAAGAGGGUAAAAAUGAAAAAUCAUUUUUCUUCUGAGAAACUCUUACUUAUCUUAGAGAGAUCACAAUGCCCUUUACCAUUCUUUGACGAGUUCAUUUUUUGACAUCAAAGUUAAAUCAGAUAAUAAAAUUGCCUAAAAUGUUUAUAUAGUAAUAGCGAGAAACUAUUCUAGAAAUACUUUUAGUGUUGAUGUCCGUACUGCUUAGAGUUUAAUCACGGUGUUAGUGCUCUAUAUAUAUAGGGUUUAAAUUCCAGAAAAAAAAUUAUAAACACAUAUGUAUAUAGUUUGUCGAAGAUUUUUGGGUAUAUUUUUCGUAGAACUGUAUAAUAUGUGUCGAGAUAAUAACAGGUUGAUUUGUAUAUUAUAAAAGAAUACCAUUUAAAUAACUAUUCACAGUGUUGCAUAUAUUUAAAUUCAAUUUGUUCAUUCAAGAUAAUAGAUAACCAGAUAAGAUCAUAUUCAAGAAAGAUACACAAAACGCAUUUCUCUUGCCAUAGGAUAAGACUUGUGUUUGACGUAACAAGAGAAAUAUACUCGUGGCUGUGCCUAUGAUUUGGACACUUUCCUUUCUUACCUCACGUUUCAAAAUCAACAACCUUAAUUAGUACAAAAGGGAACUUUUUCCUAAAAGUAAAAACGUUACAUUGGAUGAUUCCACGUAUGGAUUUCAUUCACGGCGUAUUCAUAUUUUAUAGCUGACACUUCGACAGAAAUGGCAAUACGUGUACAUCGUUUCUGCAUCCACACAACAAAGAAAUAUCUACACUCCUUUGUCCAUUUUCGUCUGAUUUAUAUAAAUAUUGUCACGUUGAUCAUGUAAGCUAAUAACAGCUAGUGUUACACACGUCUCUUCAACCAUCAUAUUCGUCUCUGGUGGAGAAAAUGCCGAUUAGUGAGAAACUUCCGACUUGGGCCGUUGUCCCGGCUGUUUUUGCCGUCUUUUCCGUAAUUUCGUAUCAGAUCCUAAUCGCGCCAGACAAUUUGAACGGCACCAAAAAUGUAUUGUCGAUGGCUAAGACCAUACCACUUCCUGUCGAUGGACCAGAGAGCAUUGAGUGGGACCCGCAAGGAGGAGGUCCUUAUGCUGCUGUUGUGGACGGCCGUAUUCUCAAGUGGCGUGGAGAUGGUCUCGGUUGGGUUGAGUUCGCAUACACAUCUCCUCACAGGUUUUUCUUAGUAUUACAACGUUUAUUAGAGCACAUUAACACAUGCAUAGUGACUAAAUAGUUUGAGGAAAACUAAACAAUUUGUUUAAUUAUUUAUUUUGUUUUCUUUAGAGGACUAUGAGGAUUUUACUGUAUUGUGCCGGAGCCUUUUCAUAUUUUUCCUUCUAUCCAAUAAAAUUAGAAAGAAAUUUUUUUAUAUAUUAAUACUAUUAUUUGCGACAUGAUUUUUCGAUUCUGAAAUAUUAUAUUAAAAUUUAGAGUGGUUUAAAUCAAUGAUAUCUUUAGUAAAUUUUUAUAUUAAUAAUGUUAUAUUUCUAUGGUAUAUUAGAUAACUGAUUAUAAAUUAAUUUAAUAAAAUUUUCAAAACUAAAAUUAUAUAUUUUUAAAAAGAUAAUUCGUAUACAUUAUGCUGUUUGUCUAUAAAUACUAUUUUUACUAUCAAAUUUAAAAAUUAAAAUGCAAAUAAUUUAUAAUUAAAUAUUAAUCAAGAAAAAAUAUUGUAUAAAGAUAUUUCUAAAAUAUUUAUAAUAUGUGAGUGAUUUAAAAAACAAUUGACAUAAUAAUAAACAAAUAUAUGUUAUUGAACAAAAUUUGUUAUAUAUAAAUGAUUUGAUGUUUGAUAACUUUUGAAAAUAUUAAUAAUAAUUUACUAGAACUCGACUCAUGUUCCCGAACGUAAAGUCAUAAACCGCUGGUUACAGCGGCGGAUGUAGAGCCUACAAGGGUGGGGCAUCUUCCCCCUAUGAGUUUUUUUUAUAAAAGUUUUUCUUUACUAAAUUAUAAUGAAUUUUGAAGAAAUUGAAUAAAUUUGCCUCCCAUAAAACCUCAAACCUAGGGUUAAGUAUGCCUCAUUUGUAAGUUUGAAAAUUUUGCCCCCUAUUAUAAAACUUUCUAGAUCCGCCACUGGCUGGUUAUAUAAAAAAUUCUAUGUAUAUUUUUUAUGUUUUGUAAUUUAUAUAUAGAAUAGAAUAUAUUAUUUUAUAAUGUAUAUGUUUGAUAAUAAAAAAAAUUAUUUGUACAUAAUAUUAUAUUAAAAAUUUUUAUAACUUGAUGCAAUUUGAUAUAAUUGUACUAUUCUUAUAUUAACCUGUUGUUUUCUUGUUAAUUUAUUUUAAGAUGAAAAAACAUACUAAAUUUUUUAAUUUUUUGCAUUAGUUUUCUAUGAAUUAUUAUUUAUUUUAUGAUAAUUUGUUUCUUAAAAUAUUGAACUCUGGAAUUUUUUAUAUUUGACUAAACUAAAUAGGAUAAUACUACAUUUAAAAAUUGUUUUAUAUAAUAUAUACUAUAUAUUUCAGUUUGUGCUUUUAUUUUCACCACAAAAAACAACAAUCAAUGUAAUUAAUUAAUUUAGAUUAAUUUUUAAUGCUGUGGCAGAAUCUAGAAUCUGUAAUAUAAAUACAAAAAGAAGCACUUAAUUAAUUUUAAAUGUAAAGGCUAAAUGUGUAAAUAAUAGGAAGUAUUUAAUCUGCUAUUUAUGUUUUUAAACAAUUCUCAUUUAUAUUUUUAUACAUGUUUCCAAACAGUACUAAAAAGUAUUCCAGUUUUAAUAAUUUAGAUUAUGUUAAUUUUUGAAUGAAUUAAACAUAAAUCGAUAAGUAUUCGUAAGAAAUCGCAUGUGCGGAAAACAGUAUAUAUAUGUUUACAGUUUACACUAUGGAAGUUUUUUAUAAUAAUAACAAUGAUAUAUUAUCCAUGUUGUACGUAGAGGGAACUGUUCGCGGCAUGAAGUGGUACCUACAUGUGGAAGGCCACUAGGACUUAGUUUCGAGAAGAAAACAGGAGACUUGUACAUAUGUGAUGGUUACCUCGGGGUCAUGAAGGUCGGGCCAGAAGGAGGCUUGGCUGAGUUGGUAGUGGACCAGGCUGAAGGUCGAAAAGUAAUGUUUGCGAACCAGAUGGAUAUUGACGAAGAGGAAGAUGUCUUCUACUUCAAUGACAGUAGUGACAAGUAUCAUUUCAGGUAUAUUUUAGGCUUUACCAAACUUAUAUAUGCCCUUAGGAUCAACCAAUUUUCAAAAAGUUUUUAAUGUUUUAAUGUUUAAGCUUUACUUAACAUUUUAAUGUGUUUUUUUCUCCAGUGAAACACAAAUUUUAGCAGUUUAAAUUUUUCUUUUUCAAGUUAUAAAUAACAAAUAAAUGGAUAGAAGUUGUAGGGUGUUUCCGGUUACAUUUUAACAUAUAUUUUAAUGUAUAAAUGCUAACGCAGAAAAAUUAGCGUUUGAACAAUCUAAAUUUUAAAUCUAACUGUGAUUUUUGUUGGUCAGGGAUGUAUUUUACGUGAUUGUCAACGGUGAGCGGCCAGGAAGAGUGAUCAGAUACAAUAAGAAGACGAAAGAGGCCAAGGUUGUCAUGGACAAUCUCCGUUGUAACAACGGUUUGGCUCUAAACAAAGAUAGAUCUUUCUUAAUCUCAUGUGAGUCUGCCACUGGCCUUGUCCAUCGAUAUUGGAUCAAAGGUCCUAAAGCUGGGACUCGUGACAUCUUCGCCAAGGUUCCUGGUUAUCCUGACAACAUCCGUUUGACACCCACUGGUGAUUUUUGGAUUGGUAUACACUGUAAGAAAAACUUACUAGGAAGACUGGUCGUGAAUAAUCAGUGGUUAGGGAAGUUGGUUGAAAAGACUGUGAAGUUAGAGUUAUUGAUUGGGUUAGUGAACGGGUUUAAGCCGCAUGGGGUGGCCGUGAAGAUCUCCGGGGAGACGGGAGAGAUAGUGGAGAUACUUGAGGACAAAGAAGGGAAGACAAUGCAGUAUGUGAGUGAGGCUUAUGAGAGAGAUGAUGGUAAGAUAUGGUUUGGGUCCGUUUUCACGCCUGCCGUAUGGGUUCUUGAUCGCAAGUGAGUGAUUCCCAUUUGUUGUAUGUACGUAGUCAUGUUUUGUAAGUUAAGUGUCUCUUGUUUGUUGCUUGUAUUUAAAAAUAUAGACAUGCUUGUAGAGUGGAUGCAUCCACUGUAUCAUGUACAGUUUCAAUAACUAAAUACUUCUGGAGGGAAAAUGAGUACUUUAUUCCCCAAGUAUUUGAAAUCGACAGUUUUAAUAUUCAAGUAUUGCUCGCGCAGAAUUAUUUCCCAACUAAUAGUUGGCUGCGCGAAAUUGAGAACAUAAUAGUCAACCAUUAACUAAUGAACGGAAAAAUAACGGUUUCGUUAAUUUUUUAACAGUUAAAUAUUAUAAUCAUAGUUUUGCACAUUCAGUGAUUAGUUAAGGAAUAAAUAUGCGCAUAUCAUAUUUAUGUAUUUAAUUUUUCGAUUGAAAAUACUUGAAAAAAUAAAAGGAACAAUCUUUUUUAGACACUUGUAUAAACUACUAUAGACAAUUAUAUAUUGUAAAUUAGAAAUACAGUGCAAAUGUAGUUAUCUUAAAAACUAAAAAUAUUUUUUUCAGGUUUUAACUAGGAAUUAUUUUAUAAAUCAUCUAAAAUGAUUUUAUAAACAUGAAGUACAUCAACGAUACAAUGUAACUAUAGUUGUUUUGUAUUGUUUUAUAUGUCAUUGUAAAAACUCAACAAUCGCUUUCAGAAAAGUUAAUAUCUAGUAUAAUGAUUUUAAUUUAUAUUGAAAAUAUUUUUAAUUAUGUUUUUCUUAAAGAAAAUUAAUGUUCGUGAUUUUCAAUCUUAUAAAGAAUAUAAAAGGUGAGUUUUUAAUUUCUCAAGUAUUUUCAAUCGGUAAAUUAAAUAUUCAAGUAUUAUAUGCGCAUAUUUAUUCUCCUACUAAUCUUUGAGUGCGCAAAAUUAUGAUUCAAAUAUUUAACCACCGUCUCUCAGUUAAUAGUUGACUAUUUUGUGCAGUCAACUGUUAGUUGGGGAAUAAUUCUGCGCGAGCAAUACUUGAGUAUUAAAAUUGCCAAUUUCAAAUACUUGGGGAAUAAUAUGCCCGUGUUUUCAGCAAUAUUAUUAUUAAUUGUGACUGGACAUAGCUCUCGUGUGGUACGUAGUAAGGGUGGGCACUUUACCCGAUACCCGAAGUCACAUCCGAACCCGACCCGAAAAACCCGAACCGAAGUAGCAAAAUACCCGAACGGGUUAAGUUAGGAGAGAUUGAAUAUCCGAACCCGAACAUGAGAUAUCCGAAUCCGAAUGGAUAUCUGAAGAUAACCGAACAUAUAUAUACUUACCCUUAUAUUUCUAGUUUACAUCUCUUAUUUAAAAAAAAUAUAUAUAUUGAUGUUACACAUUCUUUAAGAUCAUAAGUAUAUAUAAUUAUGGAGAAAAUUAUUUGAUAUUCAAUUAAAAUGAAUGUCAAUUUUUUUGUUUCAUGUAUUAACAAAAGUUACAUUCAAAGUUUAAAAACAAUACCCAAAUUAAUAUCUAUUUUGUUUUUGAAAUAUUAUCUCCAAACUUAUUAAUCAUUCAAUCUAUAAAAAUAAAAAAAUCAGUUAAAUGAAAUUUACAUUUUUAAAUACAAGAAACUUAAAAAAUGGAAAAAACUAAUUUUUUUUCUUUUAAAAUCUAUAUAUCCUAACCUGAUUCAAAAUAACUGAAACCGACCCGAAGUACAGAAAUACCCGAACGGAUUCUCUAUCCCUAUACCGAAAUACCCGAAUAUGUUUUCUAUUCCUAUACCGAAAUACCCGAAAAUCCGAAAUAUUCGUCCCGACCCCGAACAUGUAUCCGAAUGCCCACCCCUAGUACAUAACUCUGGCGUGUGCCCACUAACGUCCGGAGAUCCAAAUAUUUCUCUUUAUAGUAUCAGUAAGUCGUAUAACACUUCGGAAACACUUAUUAUAUAGUUUCUUAAAUUUUAUUUAACAAUAGAGAUUUAUUUGUUUAUUUUAUCCUAUUAUCCGGACAUAAAUAUAUUCUACAAUUAUUUCUCCACCUAUAGUUAAGGGAAGUCCCAGCUUCAAGAGAAAACAUAAUCUUUAGAACUUGUCAUUAAUCAAGUGCCAGUAUCAACGUCGUUUAUGGCAAGCUUGUUGGAGCUUUCAAUUCAGGGAUAAAAGUGAAGAUCUUCCAAGGAUUUCUUCACAUUGAGCAAGCCUCUCCCACCAACAUCAUAUCUUCUGUUUUAAUGUACUCUUUGUUGUUCAUCUUAUCGUCGACUAUGGCUCCUGUUGUAACCACUUAGACUUUUGAGUUUUAAUAUAUUUCGUUUUACAAAAAAAAAGAACUUGUCAUUAAUCAAACAAUAAUGUGUGCAUUAGUCCCUCCAGUGUUCCCAAACUUUGGGUGGCCAUCGACAGGAGAGUACGAGAAUUACUACCGUCGACAGGAGAGCCCGAGAGAACCUCGACGACUUUACGUUUCUUGAUUUUCCGGCACUAGAGACAUAUGGAAUGGAACAUCAGGAGAUUCAGGAAAUUUUGGGGGUCUCUGUUCCGUCCGAGGGGAAUGGGGUUGUAACCAAGAAGCUUAAUCACAAUGCUAGUGAGCGUGACCGUCACAAGAAGAUCAAGUCUUUGUUCUCAUCUCUCCGUUCAUGUCUUCCAGCUUCUGAUCCGGUAAGUAGCUACUCCGCUAUAACGUAUAUUAAUCAGAGCCGUGCUCAGGCUUUUGAAAAAGGCAUUUGCCUAGGACUCCCAAAUUUUGUAGAAAUUUUAGGAUCCCAAAUUACAAAAAAAAAAAAACUUUUACAUGGUAGUUAACAUAUUCUUUUAGUUAAAUUUUUAUUUUUAUUUGAAUUUAAAUUAGACUUCUGUUUAAAGUAACUAGGUUUGUGAUCAUUUUUUUUAUAUUUUAAAUAAAAGUAUAAAGAUUCUACUUCUAAAAAACUGUAAAUAUUUAAUCACAUUGGUCUUUUCUUUUAUAUGAUAUGAGUUAGAUUUAUUUUAUAUAUUUAUGAGAAUUUGAUAAAGAAAAUAUAAUAUUUUCAAUAUAUAGUUUAUUAUAGUUAAUUUAAAUGCUAAGAUUUACAUUUUUGACAGCUACUAAUAUUUCAAUCAAAAAUUUAUAUCUUUGUAUUUAUAUUACAAAUUCAUACUUUUUGUUCAUGAUUUAAAAAUUUUAUAAAUAAAAUUUUGGUAAAGAAAAUUUAGAAAACGUUUAUGUAAUAAUUCAAAACUUUUGAGUGUUAUACAUAUAUAUAUAUAUAUAUAUGUAUAUAUAUUAUUAAAAAUAUGUCAUGUAAAAUAUAUUUUUAAACUAACCUCGGGCCUCCGAAAACGUUCGCACGGCACUGCUAUUAAUCAGUUUCACCUCAAAACCGAUUAACAAUAAUGAGAUAAUUAGUCUGCUCAUUACAUUAUUUUUAUGUGAUAUUUAUAAAACGCUUGUCCAUGCAUCUAAUACCAUUUAGAGGAAGAACAUUAAAUUAACUCUUUUUUUCUUUAAUUACUUUCUUGCAGAAGAAGCUAAGUAUUCCUCAGACGGUUUCUCGGAGCUUGAGUACAUACCGGAGCUACAAGAAGAAGUAAAGAAGUUAAUAAAAAAGAAGGAACUCUUGGUGCGUGUAUCAGGUCAAAGAGCCAUUGAACAUUACGUUGAGCCGCAACCAAAGACCGACGUUGCACGUUACGUCUCAACCAUUUCUGCAACCAAGCUAGGAGACAACGAAGUGAUGGUCCAGAUCUCAUCGUCCAAGAUUCAUAAUUUUUCGAUAUCUAAUGUGUUGAGUGGGUUAGAAGAAGAUGGGUUUUGUUCUUAUGGAUAUUUCAUCUUCAAGGUCUCAAGGAGAAAGACUCUUCUACACUUUGCAUCUUCAAAUGGGAAAUAAAGAAAAUCACAAACUGACGUGCGAAGAGCUAAGCCAGAGAAUGUUGUACUUGUAUGAGGAAUGUGGAAACUCGUUUAGAUGAUAAUUUGUUCUUGUUUCUUUUAGUUAUGUCAUCCGCUGAACAUCUAACAUUCAUGUAGUCAACUUGUUUCGUUUAUUUUUCUUGUCGAAGUCAAUGAUCGACAUUUACAUGCUACUGAAUAUACACUAAUUACUAUGAAAUUCAUGUUACCACUGAAAACUUUUAAUUUUUAUCUAGACUUUUUUCUUUGGGUUCCCAACCUUUUGUUGUCUUCUACUCUUUGUUUAUGUAUUUUUUUUUUAUUAUUUACAUAUUGUUAACAGUUAGUUGUGUAUUGUGUAUUAAUAAAAUCAACAAAGACAAAAGUGGUCCUUAUAAUAACUGUAUCACUAAUAUGAUAUUAUGUACAAUAUUAUAAAAAGUUACCAUUUUUUCUUUGAGAAAAAUAUAGAAUUUUGUUAUAUACUAAAUGCUUGGCUCUAUCAGGUGCAGGUGAUAAUAGAUGGUCCAGCCAUUAGAGUACAUGAAAAAAGAGAAGGCAUGGUUAGAGCACCCCCAUUAGUGAAUUUAUGGGGGGUUCACACACAUUCCCAAAAAAAAAAAAUUAUUAAAAUAAGGAAUAGUGAUGAACCUGUCUCUCUCCACCCCUUCUCAGUGAACCUGGUUCAUCACUGUAGCGCGGGCCCCACGGCACGUGGCGGCCCGCGACUGGUCCGAAAAAAUAAUUUUUUUUUUUUUUUUUUUUUUAAAAAACAAAAAUUAACCCAAAAAAAAAUAAUAAAAAAAUGUUUUGUGAACCCCUUUCAUGGGGUUCACUAAUGGGGAUGCUCUUAUCCAUUGAUCUUGGAGUUUAUAUAUAAAGAAGUGCACAUUGGCCAGGUUAGGAGACAUUAGAAUACAUGAUAAAAUAGAAGUCAUGAUUAUCCAUUGAUCUUGGAGUUUAUAUAUAUAUAGAGAAGUACACAUUAGCCAGAUUGCAAAACUACAAGAAAACAAAUAAUAAAAAAGUAACAUUCUCAUCUUUAACAGAAAAAGACGAUCUAACAAAUGUCUUGGCAAAUGAAUACUUAAUGUGUUUUUUCUUAAACAAAUUUAUUGUAUUUUUUGUUGCAACAUAUACUAAUUAAUUUUGUAUAGUUGUCUCCCUUCUUAUUUUUCAUUUUUUUUAUUUUUAUUGUUUUACAAUUUAAAACUUUUAUUUUCAGUUUUUGGCUUUGCUAAAAAUAUAAAUUUACAGGAUCAUAAUUGUAGCUUCCGGAGUAAUCUAAUGCAGGUCACAAUAAGAAUCUAUGAAACCUCAUUGAUUCACAUUUACAAUUUUCUGUUCUUGAAAGAGUAACUAAACCAGAACAUCCCUUAUAUAUUAAAAGAGAAGCAUUACAAUAUAUUUUCUAACCACAUGUCAUCACCACAAUCAUUCUUAGAAUUCUUAGAAAAAUAUGUUGGUCCAUAUAAAUAUAUAAUAAGCGUUUUAUUAAACUAACCAUAAAUUAAUCAUAAAUGUUCUUCAUUGUUUUCUUAAAUAAAAUUCACGGAAUUACCUAAUGUGGCUAAAGUAUACAUGACAAUUAAUGAUUUUGAAUAAUAAAGAUUUGAUAAAAAUUAGUCUAUUCUCUAUCAUUUUUUAAAAAUUUUAACUUAUUAAAAUACUAAACAACCACAUUAACUAUAUAAUAAAAAUUUUUGAUUUUUCGUAUAUGUUAUAUUUUGAAAUUUUAAAAACGAAUAAAAAUGACUAAAAUUGUUAAAAAUCUCACAUUGAAAUUUUUGUGAUCCAUGGUUUAAAAUUUCUAUUAUAACAAGAUACAAAUGAUUAUGAAAUUACAUAAGUAUGAAGUCUCAUUUAAUAAAUAUUAUAUAUAUAUAUGUAUAUUAAUAUUUUUUAAAAUAAAUUAUAUACCAUAUAAAAUACAUAAUGUAUUUUAAUUUCGAAAUUUGCUUUGAUUUUUUUGGAUAAACAUUUUGAACAAUUAUUGACAACUUAAUAUUUAGAUUUUAAACUUUGCAUUGAAUGUUUUUAAAUUUAUAAAUUACUAAAACUAUUAAACACCCAACAAAUUUUUUUAUUGUUAUCAGUGAUUUAAGAUUUUUGUUAUAAAGAAAUACAAAUGAUCAAAAAUAAUAUGAAUAUAAAAUAUUUUAUAUUAAAAAUAUACUAUAUAUCUAUGUUAAUAUCAUUUAAACUUAAUUUUAUACUAUAUAAAAUAGAAAAAAGUGUUUGUCUGGAUUAAUAAAAUUUAUUUAAGUAUGUGUACCAAUUUAAUUAUAUACGUAAUAAUUCCUAAAUUUUUACUUAUUCAAUAUAUAUUUAUUAUUUCAUAAUAUGUAAAAAAUAUAUAAUACUUAAAAAUAAUUUAUAUAUAAUAUUCAUUCCGCGCAAGGCGCGGAUCUUAACCUAGUAUUUUUUAUUUUUUUUGUCAACAAACCAGUUUACCACAGUAUUUAUAAACAAUGGCUUUGUAUUAAAUACCGAGACCGUAUUUAAUUAAGAUAAUUAAAGCUAUUAAAAAUUGAAAUGCUUAUGUAUAGGCUUACGACAUCAAGAUGCUUAUUAUAAGAUUUUUCAGAAAUAGGGUUAAAACAACCAAAUGUCUGGGAUGAUGAAGCCAAAAUCAUCUUCCACCUGAUUACCACACGCCUCCAACAGUAUCUUAUGCUGACUCAUACUUCAGUAUGUAAAUAAUAAUGUUACUAUAGUUUUGAUAUGCCUCUUCAAUUCCCGCUUAUUAUUUCCAAGGAAGGAUUACUGGACCUAGUGCAUGCGUGGAACAUAAGCUCUCGAACGUGCCAAACUGUGUCCUACCGCUACCGAGACCUACAUAUUUAUCAUUAUAGUAAAUAUAAGUAUAACGCAUAACAAUAUAGUCUGAACGAAUCAAAUUACAACUUUAUUAUAUAGUUUGUCAAUUAAUAUCUAACAACAUAAAUUUAUUUUUUAAAUCCUUUAUCCGCUAUAUAAUCGGGAGACAAUUUUAUUCCAGCCAAAAGCACAGCUUCGAUAGAAAACAUAAGCUAUAAACUUGUCUCUUAUUAAGCAAAGAAAAUGUGUGCAUUGGUCCCUCCAUUGUUCCGAAACUUCGGUUGGUCGUUGACGGGAGAGUACGAGAGCUACUACGGUGGUGGAGAUCACCUCACCAACGGCACAAUUUUUGAUUUUCCGGAGACUUUUGGAGUGGUUCAUCAACAGAACAGAUUAUGGGUUUCUGUUUCGUCAGAAGGAAUUGGAAUAGACAAGAAUCCGGUUGUAACCAAGAAGCUUAAACACAAUGCAAGCGAGCGUGACCGUCGCAAGAAGAUAAACUCUUUGUUCUCAUCUCUGCGUUCAUGUCUUCCAGCCUCUGAUCAGUCGGUAAGUAGCUACUCUGAUAAGUCAUAUAUGUCUGUAUUAUUUAGAGGAAGAAUAUUAAACUAACACUUUUUCUUUACUUUCUUGCAGAAGAAGUUAAGUAUUCCUCAAACAGUUUCGAGGAGCUUGAAGUACAUACCAGAGCUGCAAGAGGAAGUGAAGAAGCUAAUACAAAAGAAGGAAGAAUUUUUGGUGCGAGUAUCGGGUCAAAGAGACAUUGAACAUCACGUUAAGCAGCAACCAAAGGUGGUUGCGCGUUAUGUCUCGACUGUGUCUGUGACUAGGCUUGGAGACAACAAAGUGAUGGUCCAAAUCUCAUCGUCCAAGAUUCAUAGCUUUUCGAUAUCUAAUGUGUUAAGUGGGUUAGAAGAAGAUGGGUUUGUUCUUGUGGAUGUUUCAUCCCCAAGGUCUCAUGAUGAAAGGCUUUUCUACACUUUGCAUCUUCAAAUGGGAUAUAUUGAUUACAAGAUGAAUUGCACAGAAUUAAGUCAGAGGAUUUUGUAUUUGUACGAGGAAUGUGGGAACUCAUUUAGAAGAUAACUUGUUUUGUUUCUUUUCGUUAUGUCGUUCCUUUCUCUUGAACAUCGAACAUUCUUGAUCCCUGAGCAUUGUAAUUGAGUUGUUUCGGUUUACUAUGCAAAUAAUAUUACAGAAUUAAAAUUUUAAUUCUUUUUAUUUACUUCGACUCAACAUUACUGGUAAUAUACUCUUGUUUGGAAAUUUCGCUAGGUGUUGUACAUAACUUGAAUAGGCCUACUAAAUGGUGAAAAUAUCAAAAAUUAUCAGAGAUUUAUUUUUGCCAGCACAUGCGCGCAUAAUUCUCUUAUUACUUUUUAAUAAAUAUAUAUUAGUUUAAAAAUUGAAAUUUUAAUUCAAAUAUUAAAUUUAUACUAUUUUAUGAAUCUUUUAGUUUCUUAAUUUUACUUUUACUGAUUUAAAACAUUAUUUUGGAUAAAACAUUAAUAUAUUAAUUUAAAAUAUGUUGUUAUCUAAUUAAAUAAACAUAUAUCUAAUUGUUAAUAUAAAGUGAUGUUAUCAGACAAAAUGUAAGGCUAUGAAUAUGAUGCAGUGCAAAAGCACAAGAAACACAAGAGGAAUAGUCUUCAGUUUUAUCUGCACUUUUUGUUUAUUCAUCAUUAAUAUGCAGAACAAAAAGAAAAUAAUAUAAUAUUUUGUAAACUGUUUGUAAAUAAUUUUAUAUGUAAAAAUAAAAUUGUCCCGCAAACAUAGCAAAAACAUAUAUUUUUACUUGACAUAUUCAUAAAUUUAACAUAAUUUUCUGUAUAAAUAUUUAUUUAGCUACACUAAAUAAUCUUAUGUAAUAUUUAAAUAAAUAGAAAAACAUAUAUGGCUGGUUUGAUUUUUCUUAUUGAUAAUAAUUAACAUAAAUAGAAUAAAUAACAUUUAUUUGCAAAAAUUAAAUUUCAUCUUAUAAGAUUUUUAUAGAAAUCAGUUAAAUGAAUUCAUGAAUUUUAUUAAUUGAUUAUAUAUAUAUUUAUAAAUUUAAAUAGUUAUUUUAUUAUCAUUCAUAUUUUAGACAAUGAAAUAUCAUAUAUCAUUUCUUUUUUUUCCAUCAUACAUACAUGUAUAUAUAUAUUAUAAGACAUUCAUGUAUUUUAUCCUUUGUUUAACUGGUUUUUCAUAUUUCAGGUUAUAUAUAUCCCCAAAAAUAAUUGAAAAAUAAAAGUACAUUUUCAAUUUGUUUCUUAAGUGAAUUAUAAAUUUUUUUAAUAUGUUAAAAAUAAGAUAUUUGGAGUUUAGACAAGGAAAACUUAUACUCCCUCUGUUUUUAUUUGUAGGUAGUUUAACAUAAAAGCACGCAGAUUAAGACUUCUUAACUUUUUAGAAAUCAGCAAAGAAAACACGUUGCUUUAUCUAUAACACAUUUAUUUUGUCUGGAAUAAAUGUUGUUAUGGUCACGUAUCAAUUUAUUUUUAUGAUUUAUUGUCUUCUUAUGAGGUACAUUAAUUAUUUCAAAACAUCAAAACAAAACAUACAUAGAAUAGAAAUAAAAACAAAGAUUAAAAAAACUUAGGACAAUUAAUCUUCAAUAUAGCCAAUAUAGUGUCUUCAAUUUCUCUGUCGGGAUGAAGCUCUCCAAUAUCAUAAUGCAUCUUAUUCAAGUCAAAUGGCCGAGUGAACAUCUGCAAGUUUGAUUGUGUUUUGUUGAUGUUUUGAACAUUUUCUGUUUUGUUUUCUUUUUGAUCUUUUUCAUCUUCUUGUUCCAUUAUUUUCUGAAGAAAAAAAUAGUUAAAUGUUUUUUAAUUAUAUUAUUUUAUUGCUUUGGAUUCUGCAACAUCUUAUAUUGUGAAACAAAUCUAUUUUGCUAAAACUACCUACAAAUAAAAACAGAGGGAGUAACAAACAUUAGAGAAAUUAUUGCAAAUAUGUUAUGCACAAACAAAAAUACUCUAUAUUAACCUUUUCAAUUUAAUUGUAUGUUGGAAUUGUAUUUAUUUUUAUGUAGUGUUAAAUUUUCAUUAACUAGUUCGAUCUACAUUUGUUCAGUAAAUUAUUUGAUCUGUAUAUGUUUACUUGAUAUGCAUUGUAUGUUUGAUCCGCAUAUUUUUUUGAUCUGCGUUCCCAUUAAUUGUCGGUAGUGUUUCCUAUUGGUACAGUAACAAAAACGAGUCAUUGGUCCCUUGUUCUGAGUGUUUAUCUGAGAAAGAAUAGUUUAGUAUCAUCGAGACUAGUGGCCUAGAAAACAUCGUAUGGGUCAAUGAUCAAGAAAGUUUUGUUCAGAAAAGAAAAAGUAUAAAGACAAAAGGUAGAACACUGAUUGAGACAUAUAAGCCUUUUUGGUUAAAGAGAACACUAAUAUGUACCUGUUCAACGUGUGUAACGUGUGUUGUGUCCGAAACACUUGAAAAAGAAUAUCUGUUUUAUCUAUUUAAUAGAGUAAUCAAGUGCGCUAUCAUCAUUCACAUAACAACUUCGCCUGAGAGACAAGACAGAUGCCGAUCAGCGAGAGAGUUCUGAAGCAGGUUGCAGCCUUUCCAGUUGUUUUAGCCAUCGUUUGCUAUUUCUUCUGGCCAUCAAUCAUCGCGCCGGACCUCCUAAAGGGCACGAAGGACGUUCUCCAAGUGGCUAAGACCAUUCCUCUCCCUGGUGAUGGACCAGAGAGCUUAGAAUUUGAUUCACAAGGUGAAGGCCCUUACGUUGGCGUCACUGACGGUCGCAUCCUCAAAUGGCGCGGUGAAGAGCUAGGAUGGGUUGAGUUUGCCUACUCUUCUCCUCACAGGUUCAUUCCUAACAAAAAGUUGCCAACCUUCCUAUGUUUUCGUUGUUCCAUAAUUAGUCGUCCAAUAUAUUUUCAUCAAUGUUCAACAAAUCAUUAAGUAGUAAUUAAACGUUUUAUAGGGGAUUAGGAUAUAGGUGCGCCUAUACACUGUCUAAACCGAUUUUGAAAGAUAGUUCUAAAAAUCUUUUUGCUUAAGACUAAUUUAUUUAUGACCGAUUUGUUAGAACAUUGCUUUUCAUUACCUUGCUAAUGAAUCUGACCCCCCUUUUGUUUUGGUGAGUGAAGAGAUAACUGUUCGAGGCAUAAAGUAGUUCCAAGUUGCGGGAGACCAUUGGGACUUAGCUUCCAUAAGGAAACAGGAGAUUUGUACUUCUGUGAUGGUUACUUUGGGGUCAUGAAGGUCGGACCAGAGGGAGGCUUGGCCGAGUUAGUUGUUGAUGAAGCCGAAGGUCACAAAGUCAUGUUUGCGAACCAAAUGGAUAUAGACCAAGAGGAAGACGUCUUCUACUUCAAUGAUAGCAGCGAUAAAUACCACUUCGAGUAAUUAAAAUACACCUUCGUUAAUUUACAGAGAUUCACGGUCUUAAUAUUUUUUUUAUCUGGUUGGUAAUAUUAGCAAAACGUGGAAAUGACAAUAAAAAUAAAAUGAAUAAUAAAUAAACUAUAGUAUAGAUUAACAGAAUGUGACGACAUAGCUAAUAUAUCUAAAAUAUGAUCGUAUAUUAUAUAAAAAAAACAUAUAUACAUGUAACCAACUUGUGUAUGUGUUAUGUUUGUUUUGUUGGACAGGCAAGUGUUCUACGUGUAUAUGUCAGGGGAGAAGACAGGAAGAGUAAUUAGAUACGAUAUGAAGAAGAAAGAGGCCACAGUUAUAAUGGACAAACUUCAUUUACCUAAUGGUUUAGCUCUAAGCAAGGACGGAUCUUUUGUACUCACCUGCGAAAGUGGUACAAAUACUAUCCACAGAAUAUGGGUCA
RNAcentral lists this long non-coding RNA (17818 nucleotides) under Brassica rapa (field mustard). RNAcentral's name for it is "long non-coding RNA (BRAP_LNC002650)". Lineage: Eukaryota; Viridiplantae; Streptophyta; Magnoliopsida; Brassicales; Brassicaceae. The record is from RNAcentral.